Numida meleagris (helmeted guineafowl) is the source of this 1669-nucleotide long non-coding RNA. The record is from Ensembl. Lineage: Eukaryota; Metazoa; Chordata; Aves; Galliformes; Numididae.
CACCCAGGGAUAACAGAGCAGAUGCAUCGCUGAAUGCUCCAGAGAUCUCCUAGGCACAUGGACGUGGCUGCACCAUUCAGACCGGGAAACCUUUGUGGAAGUUUUCAGCCCAUGCUUUCCACAGUGACCCAAGAUUGUUUCAUUCCUAAGGAGCUGCCAACGCGUUGACGGACAACGCCAUCCCCAUCAGCCACAGCAUUUCUCUCUCCUUGCCAGGAAGCCGGGCCUGUUCGCUCUGACACGGGCUGUGCGGCCCCGCUCCCCUCUCCUCCCGCAGCAGCGGGGCCGCGUGGCAGACCCCGUUCUCCCUGCUCCCAAGCCCACGACCUCGCUUUCCACGCGGUGACAUUUCAGCGCUCCGGGCCCCCGCACACCCGGCCCUUUCGUCUCCCCGCUGCUGAGCGCACCCGCAGGCCGACGGGACAACGCUGAGGAGCGGCUGCAGACGCGCUGCUGGGCCUCUCCCCUACCGCAGCUUCACCUCUCGGGGCCGCAGCACGGAGUCCCCGGCUUUCCCUCCCUCGCUCAGCGCCCCGCACGCUGCCCGCCCCGCCCGCCAGCUCCCCGGUCCUGCAGAAGCACCUACCGCUGCGGGCUGGCGGCUCUCGGCGCUGUGUGCCGGCACCUGCCGGGCUGCGGGGCGGGGCGCUGCGGGGCGGGUGGCGGGGCGGGCCCGGCUGAGGCCUGCGGAGCCGCGGCCUGGCGUAGCGGGGCAGGCCGGGCGCCCCCUCCCCGCCGGCGGCUGUCAGAGAAGGGGUGGAGCGCGGCCUCGCGGCGCUGUGCGAACCUCCGGCGCCUCGGCCCUGCGCUGCGGGGCCAGAACCUCCGGCUGUCACCGGGUAACGGGGCUGUGACCUCAGCCCGCCCGCCUUGCCCGGGCGCCAGAGGCAGCAUGAGCGUGGCGGUCACGUUGGCAGAUCUGGCGGACAUCGCCUUUCGCACGCCCCAUGGCUGCAGUAUCAACGCUGGCGCCCUGCAGCUUCUCCUGCGCGGGCUCCUGGAGCACCUGCAGCUGCAGGAUGCUGCCACGAACCUCUCUGAGGAUGAGAGGGGCCUCCUGCAGCCUGAGGUCAGCGCAAAGCCCCGCAUCCUCCUCCAGCCAGGCCGCCCCAGUGGGCCCCUGGGUACCACAGAGCUGCAGAGCCAUGGGCAGGCCCCUAGCACACCGGCCGCUGACACAGAGCAGAUGGUGCAGCUGACGAAGAGGAUGGAGGUGAUCGAGGAGGGGAUGACGAAGGUCGUAGACACACUGCAGGAGAUGCUCACCAACACCUGCUCCCUGAAGACCACCAUCCAGGCCUUCCAGGAGGAGCUGCAGCUCCUGAAGGACAGUUUCCAGAAGACUGGUCUGGAGGAGCUGCGAGAGCGGGCAGUACAGCAGGACGAGCACACCCACCUCCUGCAGAGCAUCCUGGGCCAAAUGGUGAGCCUGACAAAGCGGCUGGAAGCAAAUACCCAACCCCUGACCUGCAGAACUGGGGGCAGGGCAGUACUGAGUGUGCUGGCAAGGUCUGGUCUCCCUGUCCUCACCGCAGGGUCUGCCCAGGCUCUCCAUGCCACAGCAGGACUGAUUUCUCUGCCGGUCACAGGCGGAGGUGCGGCAGCAGCUGAGCUCCUUCCCCUGGCAGACUGGAGUGCUGUGCUCGCUCUGCAGGCUGCCUGCUGGUGA